This is an RNA transcript of Solanum lycopersicum (tomato), 1990 nucleotides long. RefSeq lists it as uncharacterized. Lineage: Eukaryota; Viridiplantae; Streptophyta; Magnoliopsida; Solanales; Solanaceae. The record is from RefSeq and is a predicted model, not a curated record.
CUUUUUUUUAUCUACGUGCACGAGUCGUUAGUGAUACAAUUUGAUAUCUUUUAUAAUCGAAAAAUCUAUGUAUGCUAGUGAAACACGACACAAAACUAAAUAGAUAAAUAAUGUGUUUCUUUACUCUUUUUCAUCUACGUACACGAGUUGUUAGUGAUACAAUUUGGUAUCUUUUAUAAUCGAAAAAUCUAUGUAUGCUAGUUAAAUACGACACAAUACUAUAUAGAUAAAUAAUAUGUUUCUUUAUCCUUUUUCAUCUACGUACACGAGUUGUUAGUGAUAAAAUUGAAUUUAUUUUAUAAUAAAAAAUUAUAUAUAUGCUAGUUAAACACGACACGAAAUUCAGCAGAAAAAUAAUUUGUUUCUUUCCUCUUUUUAUCUACUUACACAAAUUGUUCGUGAUAAAAUUUGAAUUCAUUAAUCAACUUUGUCAUUUUAAAAAAAAGUGCUUUUUUUUAAUUCUUAUCAUUUUCUAAAAAAAAAAGAAAAACUAAAAAUCAUCAACUAACAGCAUUAAUUUUCUUUUUCAAUUUUUGCCAAAAAUGAAAUACUAAAUUACUUUGGAUUAAAACUGGAAGUUAUUUUGUAAAAAAAUAUUGGAGCACUUUCUGGAAACAAAGCUAACUUGGCAGCAAAAAACAGAUCCCAUGGAAAUACUAAUCCCAAAACUUAAUAAUAAUAUAUAUAUAUAUUUUUUUUCUUUCUUUCUUCUAAGAUAAGUAUUGUCAUUAUAGCUACAACAAACUCUUAAAUAUAUAUAAUUUAAUUUAUAAAAAUUCAUAUUUCAUUAAAUUAUCUCAUAUAAUCAACAAAAUUACCACCAAAUUGUUUUAGAUAUUUUUAUAAUUUUAAGAAAUAAUUAAUUUAUAAUAUUAAUGAGACAUGUAUUUAUAUAAAGAUCUUUCGAGAAUAUAUUAUCUUUCAUCAAAAUCAGUAAUUUUUUUCCACGGGGCUUAGUUAGGAUCAGGAAAAAAAUAUUAUCUUAUGGCGUUUACUAAUUUAGAGAAAUUUUAAAUUUUAUUGUGACAUGCAAAUUCAUGAUAUUUGUAAUGCCAACUAUUUUAUUGCACGCAAUUGUCCCUCAAAAUCUUUCGCUUAUUUUAUCAUUAUGCUAUUUUAUUUAUACCAUAAACUAAUUCAUAAAUAAUAUAAAUAUAUAUUCUUAUAGACCAUAUCAAACUAUUAAUAUUAAUAUGGUAGAGUUUGAAAUGUGAACAAAUAAUUUUCCACAUUUGGAAAAACGUGCAACUUGCGUGUACCCAAGUUGUCUUUAUUAUAUUCACACAGAAAAUAAAAUAAAAGUGUAGGUGAGGUGAAGGCCAGGCCACUAGCAAUUAGUAUAAAGACAUGAAAUAUGCUGACAAAGGUGUGAGCUGGAACUGAUUCGGAGCAUUUUUCAAGACUCAAGAACGUAUUGUAAUUUUACCAGAGAAGGAGAAUCAUUUUAUGGAUAAGAAAGAAUCUGGCAAGGAAAUUUCUGAAGAAGUGACUCGGGAGUCACUAAUCGCCAUAUCAUAUAGUGAACCAGAGAGAGAUCCUUCUGUUGAAUCUGUACCUGUAAAUUCCAACUACGAGAACGUGGUGAAAUCUCUUAACGACGCAAGAGAUGAUAAAUACAGGUCGGAGUUGAUCUCAAUAUCCUAUGAAGAGUCACCAGACACUGAAGUUCAACCUGGAGAGUUGAAGGGCUAACUAAUAGAUAAUUUACUAGUUUUGUAGUCCAACUCCAUGUUAAAACUCUUUUUUGCUUUACUAUAUGUUGUUACUCAUAAAGAACUAGACAUUGUUUGAACUUGUAAUGUUUUCAUGUGUUACACCUUAUAAAGUCUGUUGUUGUAAUCAUUGGGGGAGGCACUUUUUACUUGGCAGAAAAGUUAGGUAAUAUGUGUAGAUAAUUUGUUAUAGGUUGGCAUUGCUUAAACAUAACACAAAGUAAAUAUCAAUUUGUGAUAUAAAUACUUUAAUAGAGCAUUACAAUCUCAAAUUCAAA